RNAcentral lists this ribosomal RNA (550 nucleotides) under uncultured bacterium. RNAcentral describes it as "bacterial SSU rRNA". It matches the Rfam family "Bacterial small subunit ribosomal RNA", at positions 355 to 896 of the family's 1533-position model. The record is from RNAcentral.
UAGGGAAUCUUCGGCAAUGGGGGCAACCCUGACCGAGCAACGCCGCGUGAGUGAAGAAGGUUUUCGGAUCGUAAAGCUCUGUUGUAAGUCAAGAACGAGUGUGAGAGUGGAAAGUUCACACUGUGACGGUAGCUUACCAGAAAGGGACGGCUAACUACGUGCCAGCAGCCGCGGUAAUACGUAGGUCCCGAGCGUUGUCCGGAUUUAUUGGGCGUAAAGCGAGCGCAGGCGGUUUGAUAAGUCUGAAGUUAAAGGCUGUGGCUCAACCAUAGUUCGCUUUGGAAACUGUCAAACUUGAGUGCAGAAGGGGAGAGUGGAAUUCCAUGCGUAGCGGUGAAAUGCGUAGAUAUAUGGAGGAACACCGGUGGCGAAAGCGGCUCUCUGGUCUGUAACUGACGCUGAGGCUCGAAAGCGUGGGGAGCGAACAGGAUUAGAUACCCUGGUAGUCCACGCCGUAAACGAUGAGUGCUAGGUGUUGGGUCCUUUCCGGGAUUCAGUGCCGCAGCUAACGCAUUAAGCACUCCGCCUGGGGAGUACGACCGCAAGGUUG